RNAcentral lists this unclassified non-coding RNA (206 nucleotides) under soil metagenome. RNAcentral's name for it is "partial contains 5.8S ribosomal RNA, internal transcribed spacer 2, and large subunit ribosomal RNA". The record is from RNAcentral.
AACAUCGCGCACCUGCGGGAACCUGCGGAAGGAUCAUUAUCGAGUUGCAAAACUCCAACCCUUUGUGAACAUACCUCAGUCGUUGCUUCGGCGGUGGACGGCCUGUUUUUCGGAACGGCCGGAAGCCGCCGGAGGUUCCAAACUCGUAUUUUUUAGUGUAUCUCUGAGCCUGAAAACAAAUAAUCAAAACUUUUAACAAUGGAUCU